RNAcentral lists this long non-coding RNA (1290 nucleotides) under Oryctolagus cuniculus (rabbit). Its description in RNAcentral is "lncRNA (ENSOCUG00000031941.1)". Lineage: Eukaryota; Metazoa; Chordata; Mammalia; Lagomorpha; Leporidae. The record is from RNAcentral.
CUCAGAUCCAUCGGUGGCUCCCUGCCGCUCCCAGCCGGCUCCGGCACCUGCAGGCUGCACCUGCCGGCUCUCGGGGUGGGGCUGGGGGCUGCACACACUCGGUCCCAGCCCCGGCCCUCCCGCGACGCCGCCCCUGGCUCCCCCGGCACCGUGCUGAGUGUUCCCCUCUGUGGACAGGCCGGGGUGGACCCCGCCACUGUGCUCCCUGCCAUCCAACCAGGGGCGCCCUGGGCAGACGGGAGGGAGGAGGGCGGACAGGUGCCUCCUUGGCCCUCUUGGGAGGUUGCCCCCGCAGCCUGGGUUGCACACCCCCUCCUCCCGACUCCCAGGGGCCACCCCUCGCCUGUGCCAGUGGGCCAUGUGUGCGGUGGGCUGGGCUGCAGCCAGCCCGAGUCUCCCCUGGGGGCCUGUGGCCGACGCCCCCCGGGCAGGGGACAUGGCUCGUGUGGGACACAGUCGGUGCUCUGUAAUUGCACGUUGAGCCGUGAACCCCAGGAACAAGGCUGGGCGCCUCCCACGGCCACGGUGACCACGGAGGCCCGCUCUCUGGACCCGACCCGGGAGGCAGCUGCUGCCCGGGGGAGGAGACCUGUGGAGCGAGCUCGGCCCCUGGCUCCUCCACCGCUUCCAGCCGCUGUGCCCUGGUGCUUGUGCGCAGUUGUCACCGCGAUGGGGACCCGGCCGCUGCAGGACCCUCCCGGAAACCCAGGGUGGAGGAGGGGGCAGCUUGGGCCCCAGGCCCCACCCCCAGGACGGUCCGCCCUCAUCCAGCCCCGAGCUUGGCGCUGGGCCCACAGCUUCUCCCUCCUUCCUUCCCCUUGCCCAGCCAAGACAGCACCACUCCCAGGAAGCCCCCCAGGCUCUCCCCAUCAGGAGCCACCUCCCCGAUGCCUGGAGCUGGGCCACCUCCCCCUACACAGAGCCGUGAGCUCCCGCAGGGCAGGAGCAGGCCGCCAGCGCGCCCUGCGUGUCCUCCGAGCCAACCGCACCAUGACUUUCAGAGAACACACAGGGCACAGGCGCCUUCGUCACCACGCUGGCGCUCUCGGCCCGUGCGGCAGCGGCGUCGGCUGUGGCCUGCACCCCCCCCACACACACACACAGCUGGCCACUUACCUAUUGGUCCUGCUCCCUGCUCCCCGUGAGCAGCCCAUGCUGUCUCCUCCGUGGAAAGGCCUGGCCACGCCUCGGCCCCAACCUUGGGCAAGGCGGCCCUCUCUGGGCCUGGGUCCUGAGCCCGGCUUCGCCCCAGGGGCUCCUGCCCAUCCCCAGGACCCCGCAGGAGGCUGA